This 266-nucleotide ribosomal RNA is filed under the name uncultured bacterium. Its description in RNAcentral is "partial 16S ribosomal RNA". It matches the Rfam family "Bacterial small subunit ribosomal RNA", at positions 524 to 787 of the family's 1533-position model. The record is from RNAcentral.
UACGAAGGGGGCUAGCGUUGCUCGGAAUCACUGGGCGUAAAGGGUGCGUAGGCGGGUCUUUAAGUCAGGGGUGAAAUCCUGGAGCUCAACUCCAGAACUGCCUUUGAUACUGAAGAUCUUGAGUUCGGGAGAGGUGAGUGGAACUGCGAGUGUAGAGGUGAAAUUCGUAGAUAUUCGCAAGAACACCAGUGGCGAAGGCGGCUCACUGGCCCGAUACUGACGCUGAGGCACGAAAGCGUGGGGAGCAAACAGGGAUUAAGAAACCC